RNAcentral lists this ribosomal RNA (744 nucleotides) under uncultured Gemmatimonadota bacterium. RNAcentral describes it as "bacterial SSU rRNA". It matches the Rfam family "Bacterial small subunit ribosomal RNA", at positions 28 to 782 of the family's 1533-position model. Lineage: Bacteria; Pseudomonadati; Gemmatimonadota. The record is from RNAcentral.
GACGAACGCUGGCGGCGUGCUUAACACAUGCAAGUCGAAGGCACCCAGCAAUGGGUGACUGGCGAACGGGUGCGUAACACGUGAGCGACCUACCCUGGUGUGGGGGAUAGCCGGCCCAACGGCCGGGUAAUACCGCAUGCGCUGUGGUCUUCGCCUGGAGACUUCAGCAAAGCCUUCGGGCGCACUGGGAGGGGCUCGCGGCCUAUCAGCUAGUUGGCGGGGUAAUGGCCCACCAAGGCGGCGACGGGUAGCUGGUCUGAGAGGAUGGCCAGCCACAUUGGGACUGAGAGACGGCCCAGACUCCUACGGGAGGCAGCAGUGGGGAAUCUUGCGCAAUGGGCGAAAGCCUGACGCAGCGACGCCGCGUGCGGGAGGACGGCCUUCGGGUCGUAAACCGCUGUUGCCCGGGACGAAGGCCCCUUUCGAGGGGAUUGACGGUACCGGGUGAGGAAGCACCGGCUAACUCCGUGCCAGCAGCCGCGGUAAUACGGAGGGUGCGAGCGUUGUCCGGAAUCACUGGGCGUAAAGGGCGCGUAGGCGGCGCGACAAGGCGGCGGUGAAAGUCCGGGGCUCAACCCCGGAUCGGCCGUGGCGACUGUCGUGCUCGAGCACAGUAGAGGCGGGUGGAAUUCCGGGUGUAGCGGUGGAAUGCGUAGAGAUCCGGAAGAACACCGGUGGCGAAGGCGGCCCGCUGGGCUGUGGCUGACGCUGAGGCGCGACAGCGUGGGAGCAAACAGGAUUAGA